UAGGGAAUCUUCCGCAAUGGGCGAAAGCCUGACGGAGCAACGCCGCGUGAGUGAUGAAGGUCUUCGGAUCGUAAAACUCUGUUAUUAGGGAAGAACAAAUGUGUAAGUAACUAUGCACGUCUUGACGGUACCUAAUCAGAAAGCCACGGCUAACUACGUGCCAGCAGCCGCGGUACUACGUAGGUGGCAAGCGUUAUCCGGAAUUAUUGGGCGUAAAGCGCGCGUAGGCGGUUUUUUAAGUCGGAUGUGAAAGCCCACGGCUCAACCGGGGAGGGUCAUUGGAAACUGGGAAACUUGAGUGCAGAAGAGGAAAGUGGAAUUCCAUGUGUAGCGGUGAAAUGCGCAGAGAUAUGGAGGAACACCAGUGGCGAAGGCGACUUUCUGGUCUGUAACUGACGCUGAUGUGCGAAAGCGUGGGGAUCAAACAGG
This 429-nucleotide ribosomal RNA is filed under the name Actinomycetes bacterium. Its description in RNAcentral is "Actinobacteria bacterium partial 16S ribosomal RNA". It matches the Rfam family "Bacterial small subunit ribosomal RNA", at positions 355 to 776 of the family's 1533-position model. Lineage: Bacteria; Bacillati; Actinomycetota; Actinomycetes. The record is from RNAcentral.